AAUUUGAAACAAGGGCAACUUAACCUAAGCAGUUUUCCUUUCCGCCUCUCCUCUCUUUUUCUCCCAUCGUCUCUUUAAUUUCCAGAUCUCCAUUGUUGAGACUCCAACUCCUUUCUAUCUCUCCCCCUCCAAAAAUUCAAAGUAUCCUCUCACCAACCCUUCCCAAUUUGUCUAUCAUCUCUGAAACAAAAAGCAGGAAGCGACAAACCCUAGGUUCCGACGCGGCAAAGACGGGUAGAUCCCGAACCAGUAGUUAGACUGGUUUGCAUUUACCGACGACUCAAAUUUCUUGGUUUUUGAUAGCUGGGAAGUACUCUGAACUGUCGAAGUGUUGGUGUUGGAGCUCCUGGUUAUCUCACGCCGACCUGAGUACGUUCUUGAGGAUCAUUCUCGGUCUAUAUCAUCUUAUCCGGGUUUGUCUGAUUUGUUCUGGCCACCGCCUUCCUGGAUUCUGCCCAAUUCGCGCUCUUUUGCUAGGUUGUAUCAGAAGCCAUUAAGAGCUUUCUUAAAGUUAUAUGAUCAAUAAGGUCGCAACAGCAAGAAGAAUGCAACCAGAAGAAAAAGAUUGACAAGUUGGAGAGGAGAUGGCAGAAGGAACUAAGGUCUCCAAGUGAAAUUGAAAAAAAGCUCGAAGCAAACAAUAGAUAGGGAGAUAUGGAAUCUGGGUUCAACCUUAUCUUCUUGUUGUGGGAUGCCGGGGACUUGGACCUUUCCAGAGGUAUGGAGAUCACAACAACGAUAUUACCGCAUUUCUGAGUGAGCAACCAUUAGGUAGGGAGGAUGCUUUUGGUAGAACCGUAGAACCCUACUUGGUCACAUUCCCGCAAACAAUGCUUAUGGACUCCCGGAGAUAGAUGUGGCGAUCAGAGUAUCACACCCCCCCGAAGAGAAGGACAAGAUGAGAAUCUUCACAUGUAGUUUAAAGUAUGUUUAAUGUUCAUUAGGUGCUGUGUUUCGUUCUUAUAUCAGCCGAGAUUGAAGGAAAAUGCAACAUUUGUUAGCAGUCACGUGACACGUCUCCUUCUUCUCUCGUCCACACUCAACCCUCCGUCCACCAUCACCGCGCACCAUCACCACCGCCUCCAACGUCCGGCCGUUCUUCUUUGAGGCUCUGCUUCAUCUUCACCGGCGACGAGGCCCCACGCUGCGCCUCCUCUGCAUAUUGAGGGCCCAAGAUCUCCUGAAGAGAUGCUUUCUAUAUUACAGAGAGUUCUGGAAGAAACUGCACCUGUACUUGUCUCAGCCAGGGUUGAAGCUAAGGAGAGGAGGACCAAGUAACAUAUGAUGAGGGAAGAACAAGAAGCUUCUUACAGGGCUGCAUUAGAAGCUGUCAGGUUUUCAAAACUCCAAGGGAGGGGCCCUUACCAAAAAGGAGUUGGAUGAAGUUCGAGACAAGUGGGCUAUUUACUUCAACGAUUGUGAACUACCCUCAGUGUAAUAAAUAGAGCAGGCUUGUAGUUAUUCGUGACUCUUACAUUAUUUUGUUAUUUAUCGAUUUAAUUAAUUACAUUUGAAUUAAUUCGGUAAUAUUAUUGGAAAUUUGAAAUUUAUAUCAUUUUUGAGAAUGUCAA
Long non-coding RNA from Spinacia oleracea (spinach), 1571 nucleotides. RefSeq lists it as uncharacterized. NCBI's taxonomy places the organism in Eukaryota, Viridiplantae, Streptophyta, Magnoliopsida, Caryophyllales, Amaranthaceae. The record is from RefSeq and is a predicted model, not a curated record. The transcript is spliced from 4 exons.